AUGAGGCCAGUGGCUGAAUUUCUUUCUUGUCGUAAGUACUGGCUUCAAGGUGACAAAAGAUGUGAUUUAUUCAUUCAUUUCCUCUCCCUCCACCAAUCAUAUUAUACGGCUGGCUUGCUGACGUCCCCUUGUGGUCCACUGAGGCCCCUGGGUCCUUUCCUGCAGAGCUGGAGUCAUCUAUCAGGCCCUUCCACCAAGUGUGCAGGACGGUGGCCGGGGAGAGGGAAGCUCAGCCCCUCUGACGUCACGGAGGAGCGGGGGAGGGGCUGCUUCCAGGCUGUCACCAGGAAUCCUCCGAGUGCUCAAAGGGAUUGUGAUCUCCACACUCCCCGGUCUGCACUGUGCCUGCCCCCAACUCUUCCAGAUCCACGCAUUCCCCCUCCUCCCCGACCUCUCCAGACAGCUGGAGAGAGCACAGGCUGGUCACAUCCGCUCAGUCCCUGGCUAUUAAGUGCCCACCAGACACCAGGGGCGAGCCAGGCCUGGGCCUGCCCACAUGGCGCUGAUGCUGUCGAAGGCAGAGGAGCCACAGGCCCAGGUACCCGUCCAACCCAACACCUCGGAAGGUCAAAGGUGAGGAGGCAAAGGCGCAGACGGGCAGAGAGCACCGCUCAGGUCCCAGUGAGAUCGUGGCAGAGCUGGCACCAGGACCCGCACACCGGACAGCCACCCUGACCAGGCCCUGCAGCCCACAGCUACCCCCACUGCCCAUGUCUGCUUACAGGAAACGCUGGAGCUGGCGCCCUUGGCUGGUGGCCCCAGGAGGCCCUCACCUCGCCCUCCAUUGUUACUGUCCAACUUGGGGCCUCUGGGUGAUUCUCCCCUGCACCCCAGAGGGCCCUGCUCCUGGACUUGCUCAUCCUCCUGCAAACCCUUUGCACAAAGCGCUCCAGCCCCAGGCCACGCCCCCCUGGGGAGUGGGGGGACUGACUGUUGGCAUCUCAGAUCCUCCAGGAGGCACCUAAGCCAGGCCGCGGCUUACCCAGGGAGCGGGAGGGGGGACGUGCACACAUCACAGAGGCCUGGCAGCUCACAGAGGCACUCCCUGGGGCCCAGCGGGCCUGCAAGCGUGGACUGCGCAGGCACGCGAGCCUCACACUCAGCCCCGCUAGGUUCUGUCCCAGUGAGCCCCAGUGAGCCCCAGUGAGCCCUGAGACACAGAGACGGCACUGAAGGAGGUCGUGGUCGCCAGCCCGCCCCCGGCAUCAGCACUCUGCGAACUGUCUCAGGUCCUGACGUCACCGUGGGAACAGUCCAACAGGAGUGAGUGCCAGACACAGAAGCAGACGCCCACCUCUGCCAGCCACGGAUUCGCACAUGCGCAGUCCCUGGUUUAGGACCCAGGUGACACUGCAGUGCGGCGAGGAAAAGCUGGUUUCCCAAUAAAUCAGGCUGGUCGAUUAAAUAUCCA
This 1411-nucleotide long non-coding RNA is filed under the name Oryctolagus cuniculus (rabbit). Its description in RNAcentral is "lncRNA (ENSOCUG00000033409.1)". Lineage: Eukaryota; Metazoa; Chordata; Mammalia; Lagomorpha; Leporidae. The record is from RNAcentral.